RNAcentral lists this non-coding RNA (24 nucleotides) under Arabidopsis thaliana (thale cress). Lineage: Eukaryota; Viridiplantae; Streptophyta; Magnoliopsida; Brassicales; Brassicaceae. The record is from RNAcentral.
GCUUUACAUUUUACAGCACGAUAG